This 212-nucleotide long non-coding RNA is filed under the name Gossypium barbadense (sea-island cotton). RNAcentral's name for it is "long non-coding RNA (GBAR_LNC000881)". The record is from RNAcentral. Lineage: Eukaryota; Viridiplantae; Streptophyta; Magnoliopsida; Malvales; Malvaceae.
AAAAAAAUAAAAGGAAAGAGGAAGGAUUCUCACCAGAUCCGGCCUCGUCGCCGCGUUGUCGGAGCCCUCCCCUCCAUUCGGCGUGGUUGAGUCUAAAAAAGGGGGUUGAACCCUUGUCUUUCGUUUUUGGAACGAGUCUCCAACAAGUAAAAAAGAGGGAGGGGAGGGGGAGAGAGCAGGGAAGCUAUCUGUUCUUUUUGUUUAAAAUUGGG